This is a long non-coding RNA of Aegilops tauschii subsp. strangulata, 718 nucleotides long. RefSeq lists it as uncharacterized. Lineage: Eukaryota; Viridiplantae; Streptophyta; Magnoliopsida; Poales; Poaceae. The record is from RefSeq and is a predicted model, not a curated record.
UCCACCCGACAUAUGGGCUGGAUUUGGAAUGUGCUAGACAACUUUUUGGGUAAAUAACUCUGUACUAGAGUGAGAAUAUGAUUGGAUGGUCAAUUUUUAGUCGGAUGAUGAUCGAGCGGUUUGGAUGUUUAGGGAUGGUUAGAGGGGUCUCGUUGAGUCUCCAAGAGCGUAGUGAACGGACUUGUCCGUGCUGCGCACACUAGCCCUGAACGGACUCCAGUUUUUUCUUACCCCAAAUUCUGCUCCGGUGAGUGCCGUGGCGACCCUUCUCUGAAAUCCUCAAUCCCCAAACCAGAUCCAGAGCGGAGAUGGAAGCGAAGAGAGCGCCGGCGGCCGCCGCAGCCGUCAUCUCGGCCGUGCUCGACGACGACGACCUCCUCGGUAACUGAAAUCAAUGGUAUCAAACACCAUAACCAGUGGAGGGUUGGAGGCAGCAGAUAAUGCAGACGUGGGUCUGUCAUAGUACCAGCAGAUCCACAGCGUCCCAUACUACCAGUUUUGCACAUUGUUGUAAGGUGCUACCAACUUACCAUGUUGACUUAUGCAGCUGUUAGACAUUACAUGCCUGAUUUUGUAUGUACUGCUGAUGCUUCUGCUAGACCAGUACAACUCUUGUAUAUGUAUGCCACUUUCUGCUGUGUACUAGAUGUGGGUAUGUGAAUGUUUUGGGUACCGGGCGGUAAAUUCGGUAACCGCUUUUCCCGUUACCCCACGAUAA